UACGUAGGGUGCGAGCGUUGUCCGGAAUCAUUGGGCGUAAAGCGCGCGUAGGCGGCCCGGUAAGUCCGUUGUGAAAGUCAAAGGCUCAACCUUUGAACGCCGAUGGAUACUGCCGGGCUAGAGUCCGGAAGAGGCGAGUGGAAUUCCUGGUGUAGCGGUGGAAUGCGCAGAUAUCAGGAGGAACACCAAUAGCGAAGGCAGCUCGCUGGGACGGUACUGACGCUGAGGCGCGAAAGCGUGGGGAGCGAACAGG
RNAcentral lists this ribosomal RNA (253 nucleotides) under uncultured bacterium. RNAcentral describes it as "partial 16S ribosomal RNA". It matches the Rfam family "Bacterial small subunit ribosomal RNA", at positions 524 to 776 of the family's 1533-position model. The record is from RNAcentral.